UGGGGAAUAUUGCACAAUGGGCGCAAGCCUGAUGCAGCCAUGCCGCGUGUAUGAAGAAGGCCUUCGGGUUGUAAAGUACUUUCAGCGAGGAGGAAGGCAUUGCGGUUAAUAACCGCAGUGAUUGACGUUACUCGCAGAAGAAGCACCGGCUAACUCCGUGCCAGCAGCCGCGGUAAUACGGAGGGUGCAAGCGUUAAUCGGAAUUACUGGGCGUAAAGCGCACGCAGGCGGUCUGUCAAGUCGGAUGUGAAAUCCCCGGGCUCAACCCGGGAACUGCAUUCGAAACUGGCAGGCUAGAGUCUUGUAGAGGGGGGUAGAAUUCCAGGUGUAGCGGUGAAAUGCGUAGAGAUCUGGAGGAAUACCGGUGGCGAAGGCGGCCCCCUGGACAAAGACUGACGCUCAGGUGCGAAAGCGUGGGGAGCAAACA
Molecule: ribosomal RNA, 427 nt
Filed under: uncultured Enterobacterales bacterium
Lineage: Bacteria; Pseudomonadati; Pseudomonadota; Gammaproteobacteria; Enterobacterales
Description: bacterial SSU rRNA
Rfam family: Bacterial small subunit ribosomal RNA
Source: RNAcentral